AGAGCGAACGCUGGCGGCAUGCUUAACACAUGCAAGUCGCACGGUCAGGUUUCGGCCUGGUAGUGGCGGACGGGUGAGUAACGCGUAGGUAUCUAUCCGAAGGUGGGGGAUAACGGCGGGAAACUGCUGCUAAUACCGCAUAUGACCUGAGGGUCAAAGGUCGCAAGACCGCCUGUGGAGGAGCCUGCGUACGAUUAGCUUGUUGGUGGGGUAAAGGCCUACCAAGGCGACGAUCGUUAGCUGGUCUGAGAGGAUGAUCAGCCACAUUGGGACUGAGACACGGCCCAAACUCCUACGGGAGGCAGCAGUGGGGAAUAUUGGACAAUGGGGGCAACCCUGAUCCAGCAAUGCCGCGUGUGUGAAGAAGGUCUUCGGAUUGUAAAGCACUUUCGACGGGGACGAUGAUGACGGUACCCGUAUAAGAAGCCCGGCUAACUUCGUGCCAGCAGCCGC
RNAcentral lists this ribosomal RNA (453 nucleotides) under uncultured bacterium. RNAcentral describes it as "SSU rRNA". It matches the Rfam family "Bacterial small subunit ribosomal RNA", at positions 26 to 518 of the family's 1533-position model. The record is from RNAcentral.